UAUCUUUUAAUCAAAACUGAACUUAAUUAGACAUAUUUUUUUGGAGCUGGAUAACACCAAGAAAUAUCAUGUUUGAUCCAAUCAGUUUUAUUUGCAUUUGUUUUGUAAUUAAGUCUUCUUUAAAUUAAUUUUACUUAUAAUUAAUAUUUUAAAAAUCAUGAAACUAAACAUGUGUAAAAUAGUCACUUUUUAUAUAAUACACUUACAAAAAAUUGCAAGAUAGUCUAAUAUAAUAGGCAUUGUUUUAAGAAAAAUGCAAUUUUAUGAAAUAGUCAAACCAUAACAAACAAAUUUGUAAAUACCAGUUUGCUUCGUCAUAGUUGCUGAUACUUUUUUUCCCUGGACAGAAUAACAUCACACCAUUAUUUGUUAGCAAUGAGAUAUGAUUUUUGAAAAGCUACAAAAAUAAAAUGGAGAUCCUUUAUAUUAAAAAAAAAAUAAAAUAAAAUGGAGAUCCUAAAAGAGUAACAUUGUGUUAAAAAAAAUUCUAAAAGAGUAAGGUAUAUAGGAAAGAAAAUCAGAGAAUAACUAAGGAUACCACUUGUUUUCAUUCUUGUUUCCUUGUACUAAUGUUUGCAGAGAAGGCCGAUCUCCCUUUUGUUUUGUUUGUCUAGUUUCCUCUUCC
RNAcentral lists this long non-coding RNA (625 nucleotides) under Brassica rapa (field mustard). RNAcentral describes it as "long non-coding RNA (BRAP_LNC001534)". The record is from RNAcentral. Lineage: Eukaryota; Viridiplantae; Streptophyta; Magnoliopsida; Brassicales; Brassicaceae.